RNAcentral lists this long non-coding RNA (1108 nucleotides) under Olea europaea (common olive). RNAcentral's name for it is "long non-coding RNA (OEUR_LNC011646)". Lineage: Eukaryota; Viridiplantae; Streptophyta; Magnoliopsida; Lamiales; Oleaceae. The record is from RNAcentral.
CAAAUUCAAAUUUCUAUUAUGCUUUAUUUUUCAUACAGUGAAAAAGAUAUUGCAAGAGAAGUUCAUCAUACAUGCUUAGUAGUUGCGGUUAGCCUACCAGAGGGUUAGCCGCAACUGCUAUGUUAAACGCUGCUCACAAGUCACUUCUUCAUUUUUCGUGCCAAAUAACAAAGGUAACUAAGUUUUGGCAUCCCUAACCUAUUACUAAAUUUACCCAACCCACUUUGGAGUUCAUUGAUUUGUCUCUCUAAUACAGUCAUUAGAUGGAAUUUUUCUAAUUGACAUAGUAACAUGAAAACGCAUAUUGUAUCAGUUGAACUUUUCAAAUGCAUUUCUUUGUGUUUGUAAAAAUUAUUUGUUGGUAGACUGAUUAUGGGAAAAGAAAAGUUAAAUAAGGCAACAUAUAAUGAACUAUAGCUCCCAUCAAAACAGUUCUGAAAUCCAAUAUUUGAUACAUUGAACUUGUGUUCGAGCAUAUAAAAACCAUUUUUACUCAUCAACAAAUUUGAUUCAAAUACUAGAUAAUAAUAACAUCUAAGGAUUUACUAAAUUCUGCAUAUGGUACCAUACUUCUGUGGAUUAACUGCGUUUUUAUAAAAUUUUACCUCUUAACAUUUGAUGCUUGCUUCAAAUCCUUUCUAUCUUUUGCAGAGUACAAAGUUUGAAUAUGCAUGAAUACAUUUUUUCGCACACAAAUUAUCUGAAAUUCUCAACGUCUUCACUUUCACAUUUCCUCUUCUAGCUAUAUUUCCCAUACAGCCGGAUGAAUCUAAUGUGUGAUUUGUUGUUCAUCAAUGGAGUGCCAUCAGAAUCAGUUGACAAUCUUUUGCCCUUAUACUCUGGCAUUCUUCAUCUCUUAAUCUUUGUCGUUUGAUGUCUGGAUGUAUAUUGGCAUUGUAAAGGUUGCACUUCCUCGGAUAAAAAUUCAGCCACUUUGGUCCAUUCACGCUCAUCAAUAAAGGAAAGUUAUUGACAAUUCGAAGAUUAUUGUUGGAUUACAUACUUUCCGAGAUUUUGUUACAAGAUGUUAUUAUAGCUCAUUGUGUUAAGUAUUGAUGACAAAUGCUCCUCUUUCUUGAUAACAAAUUUUCACCAUCUGUUAAAAAGU